Molecule: ribosomal RNA, 500 nt
Filed under: uncultured bacterium
Lineage: Bacteria
Description: partial 16S ribosomal RNA
Rfam family: Bacterial small subunit ribosomal RNA
Source: RNAcentral
AUUGAACGCUGGCGGAAUGCUUUACACAUGCAAGUCGAACGGCAGCACGGGCUUCGGUCUGGUGGCGAGUGGCGAACGGGUGAGUAACAUAUCGGAACGUAUCCAAUAAUGGGGGAUAACUAAUCGAAAGGUUGGCUAAUACCGCAUACGCCCUACGGGGGAAAGCAGGGGAUCUUCGGACCUUGCGUUAAUGGAGCGGCUGAUAUCUGAUUAGCUAGUUGGUGAGGUAAAGGCUCACCAAGGCGACGAUCAGUAGCUGGUCUGAGAGGACGACCAGCCACACUGGAACUGAGACACGGUCCAGACUCCUACGGGAGGCAGCAGUGGGGAAUUUUGGACAAUGGGCGCAAGCCUGAUCCAGCCAUUCCGCGUGAGUGAAGAAGGCCUUCGGGUUGUAAAGCUCUUUCGCAAGGGAAGAAAACUUACUUUCUAAUAAAGAGUGAGGUUGACGGUACCUUGAUAAGAAGCACCGGCUAACUACGUGCCAGCAGCAGCCGCCG